RNAcentral lists this ribosomal RNA (223 nucleotides) under uncultured bacterium. RNAcentral's name for it is "partial 16S ribosomal RNA". It matches the Rfam family "Bacterial small subunit ribosomal RNA", at positions 111 to 334 of the family's 1533-position model. The record is from RNAcentral.
UAACGCGUGGGUAACCUGCCUCAUACAGGGGGAUAACAGUUAGAAAUGACUGCUAAUACCGCAUAAGCGCACAGUGCUGCAUGGCACAGUGUGAAAAACUCCGGUGGUAUGAGAUGGACCCGCGUCUGAUUAGCUAGUUGGUGGGGUAACGGCCUACCAAGGCGACGAUCAGUAGCCGACCUGAGAGGGUGACCGGCCACAUUGGGACUGAGACACGGCCCAG